UACAGAGGGUGCGAGCGUUAAUCGGAAUUACUGGGCGUAAAGCGUGCGUAGACGGUCAUGUAAGUCGGGUGUGAAAUCCCCGGGCUCAACCUGGGAAUUGCAUUCGAGACUGCGUGGCUAGGGUGCGGAAGAGGGAAGCGGAAUUUCCGGUGUAGCGGUGAAAUGCGUAGAGAUCGGAAGGAACAUCAGUGGCGAAAGCGGCUUCCUGGUUCAGCACCGACGUUCAGGCACGAAAGAGUGGGGAGCAAACAGG
Molecule: ribosomal RNA, 253 nt
Filed under: uncultured bacterium
Lineage: Bacteria
Description: partial 16S ribosomal RNA
Rfam family: Bacterial small subunit ribosomal RNA
Source: RNAcentral